Molecule: long non-coding RNA, 1871 nt
Organism: Alligator sinensis (Chinese alligator)
Lineage: Eukaryota; Metazoa; Chordata; Crocodylia; Alligatoridae
Exons: 4
Source: RefSeq, a predicted model, not a curated record
CGCCCAGGGAGAAAGAGAAAGAACUUCAUGUCUGUGCGAUACCAAAAGCUGUUGCAGUGUUAUAUGGAGCUGACAUAUGCUGGAGGAUCUCGUUUCUCACGUCACUCGGAGCAAACACUGCAGUCAACAGAAUCUUCUCGCUCACAAACAUGGGUGAUGGGGACCACCUGCAGGCUAUUCCUCGCCAUUUAGAAUUGUCAUCGCCACCCAUGCCAUUAUCUGUCACAAACCUCCUGAAUGAACGCAACCGACUGGGGGCCAGUGGAGAGCUGGACAAUGCAACUCGGCGGUGUUUCAAUCAUGCCAUGCAGCUCCUGAAUGUCCAGUCCAACAGAAUACAGGACAAUACCACGCUGGUGCUUGACUAUGGCAUGGUCUCUGAAAAGAGUCAUCUACAUUGUUUGAGUGAAAUUAAGCAUGCGCAUUAUACAGAACGGAGAAGGUUCUAGAAGAUCAUGAACGCCUCACCUUUAUGAGGUAAUGCCCUAAUUUUCAUGGGGAGUUGUGUGCAGAGAGAGGAGUCUCCGUUGUUGUAGUCUCUGUGAAGGGAGUGGUCCAGCAGAGCGGUCUCUGUGACUGAAGCUUGUUUGUCAUGGGCAUUCAGCUUUUCAUCUUCCCUUGGUCCAUCAUCAUCAGUUAUUGUGGUCAUCUGUCCCUAGAUCCCUAACUAGGCCGGAGUAAUUGAAGAACACACUUACCUGAGACAGAGGAGCGCCAAGGAAUUGGGUAAAGUAUCACCUUCCCAUGUGUAAGUGUGGGACAAGCUUGGGUGUUGCUAGUUGUGGGAGAAGUCCUGGGAGCAGUAGGGGUGUCUGUGUGGUUAUGUUGGGAGGUGAAAAUCUGUUCUUGCACAUAUUUGCAUAUAAAUGCUAUUAUCUGUGUAUAACCUUGCUAAUAGUUGUACUAAAUGUUGAACCAUUUGUAUGCUGUUCUGUGCUGAUGUGUUUGAUAUUUGGUGUGAUACCAUAUAGGUGUGUUAUACUUACCAUUUGAGUCUUUUGUUUUUCCGCUCUUUUUCCCAAAACCUAUAUAUAAGGUUUGCUGGACACCCCACCUUUGUCAUAAAUUUGUCAAACUUCAAUAGCAACACUUGUAAGUUAUCCAGCCACCCUCUUCUUAUCUGGCAGAGAUGUAGUUAUUUGGGUCCCACAUUAAUUAAAAUCUCUCUGUUCUCCAUAUUUGGUUUAACCAGUCAACCAGUCAUCAUAUUAAUUGGCCUCAAACUCUGCCAGCCGGUAAGUGAAAAACUACAGUUUCCCACAUUUUUCUCCUUUAAAGGAGAAUCCAUUUUUAAAGUUUGUUCAUGACCCUUUCAUAUAUUCUUAUGACCCACUUUUGGGUCAUGACCCAUGGCUUGAGAAUUUAUGCUCUACAGGGUCCCAGACCCAGGCUGACAGCCUUCCCAGGAGACUUUUCUAGGAAAAACAUGAUUCUGUUCAAUACUAGAGGAGGCCCAAGUUAAAAUGUGGGGAAAGACAUCAAAUAGAUGACCCACUCAUCUCUAACUCGGAAGCCGCUGGAUACUAGAUGUAAAAGUGUCGUUAAUUCCUUUUGAAGUCAGUGGAGAAGUUCAGGAGAUGGUCUCGGAGUAGGAAUGGGUGUGUGGGCCUUGUCAAUAGCUGACUCAGGUCUGGAGGGAGGAAUGUAACUGAACCUCUUCCCAGUCAGGAAUAACGUAACUAAAGUCAUGGCUGGCUCUUUCCAGCUUCUACCCUGAUGGAGGCCAAAAGGAGUUUUCCCUGUGCAUCUAGAACUGGCAACAUUGCCUUAUGCUUUCACUUUUAUUUACUUUAGAUGAAGCACUCGACAGUGGCAGUCAAAGUUGCGGAAGAUACCUUUGGCCAUUGUUAAAAAAGGUCCGUGACUCAUCA